UACAGAGGGUGCAAGCGUUAAUCGGAAUUACUGGGCGUAAAGCGUGCGUAGACGGUUAUGUAAGUCGGGUGUGAAAGCCCCGGGCUCAACCUGGGAAUGCCAUUCAAGACUGCAUAGCUAGGGUGCGGAAGAGGGAAGCGGAAUUUCCGGUGUAGCGGUGAAAUGCGUAGAUAUCGGAAGGAACACCAGUGGCGAAAGCGGCUUCCUGGUCCAGCACCGACGUUCAGGCACGAAAGCGUGGGGAGCAAACAGG
This 253-nucleotide ribosomal RNA is filed under the name uncultured bacterium. Its description in RNAcentral is "partial 16S ribosomal RNA". It matches the Rfam family "Bacterial small subunit ribosomal RNA", at positions 524 to 776 of the family's 1533-position model. The record is from RNAcentral.